UGGUCUUCAUUGCUUUGGGGUCGAUGGAGUAAAGGUGGCCUCUUCAUGAAAGCUACCGUGUAGGGAUGAGGCCUGCGUACCAUUAGCUAGGUAGGUGGGGUAAUGGCCCACCUAGGCUACGAUGGUUAGCGGGUCUGAGAGGAUGAUCCGCCACACUGGAACUGAAACACGGACCAG
RNAcentral lists this ribosomal RNA (177 nucleotides) under uncultured bacterium. RNAcentral describes it as "partial 16S ribosomal RNA". It matches the Rfam family "Bacterial small subunit ribosomal RNA", at positions 173 to 334 of the family's 1533-position model. The record is from RNAcentral.